This 490-nucleotide ribosomal RNA is filed under the name uncultured bacterium. RNAcentral's name for it is "bacterial SSU rRNA". It matches the Rfam family "Bacterial small subunit ribosomal RNA", at positions 246 to 727 of the family's 1533-position model. The record is from RNAcentral.
UAGUUGGUGGGGUAAAGGCCUACCAAGGCGACGAUCUGUAGCGGGUCUGAGAGGAUGAUCCGCCACACUGGGACUGAGACACGGCCCAGACUCCUACGGGAGGCAGCAGUGGGGAAUAUUGGACAAUGGGGGGAACCCUGAUCCAGCCAUGCCGCGUGUGUGAAGAAGGCCUUUUGGUUGUAAAGCACUUUAAGCGAGGAGGAGGCUACCUGGAUUAAUACUCUGGGUUAGUGGACGUUACUCCCAGAAUAAGCACCGGCUAACUCUGUGCCAGCAGCCGCGGUAAUACAGAGGGUGCGAGCGUUAAUCGGAUUUACUGGGCGUAAAGCGUGCGUAAGCGGGUGAUUAAAUCCGAUGUGAUAUCCCUGAGCUUAACUUACGAAAUUCAUUCCAAUCUGGGCAGCUAGAGUAUGGGAGAGGAUGGUAGAAUUCCAGGUGUAACGGUGAAAUGCGUAGAGAUCUGGAGGAAUACCGAUGGCGAAGGCAGCUC